AAGACAUGCUCAUGUCUCUGGCUCACCAGAAGUACAAAGCUGGAAACUAUAAGCAAUCAUUAGAGCAUAGUAAUGCUAUUUAUGAAAGAAAUCCUCGGCGCACAGAUAAUCUCCUUCUCUUGGGUGCAAUCCAUUAUUAGCUACAUGAUUUUGAUACGUGCAUUGCAAAAAAUGAAGAAGCUAUUCAAAUUGAUCCUCGCUUUGCUGAGUGUUAUGGAAACAUGGCAAAUACUUGGAAGGUAAUCUUUAGUAUCUUUUAUGGUUCCACUGUCAAGUAUUUAGCCUGCAAGCAUCUAAUAGACAGUUAUUAUGUUUCUGCUGCAAGAGAAGGGCAACAUUGAUGUUGCAAUCCGCUACUAUUUAAUUGCUAUCGAGCUCCGACCAAAUUUUGCUGAUGCAUGGUCAAAUUUAGCAAGUGCAUAUAUGCGUAAAUGGCAGUUUAAGGAGGCAUCUCAAUGUUGUCGCCAGGCUCUUGCACUGAAUCCACGUUUGGUUGAUGCACAUAGUAAUCUUGGGAAUUUGAUGAAAGCUCAAGGAUUAGUUCAAGAGG
This is a long non-coding RNA of Humulus lupulus (European hop), 550 nucleotides long. RefSeq lists it as uncharacterized. The transcript has 4 exons. The record is from RefSeq and is a predicted model, not a curated record. NCBI's taxonomy places the organism in Eukaryota, Viridiplantae, Streptophyta, Magnoliopsida, Rosales, Cannabaceae.